UUGACCAAUUUGACCUCAAAUCAGGUAGGACUACCCGCUGAACUUA
Molecule: ribosomal RNA, 46 nt
Filed under: Psathyrella sp. GFI 33
Lineage: Eukaryota; Fungi; Basidiomycota; Agaricomycetes; Agaricales; Psathyrellaceae
Description: partial 28S ribosomal RNA
Source: RNAcentral